GCCACAAAAUACAGGCGAGAGGAAAAGGCACCGGCUCAGCAGGCAACGCUUGAACCCAUUGAUCCAUUUCAACGAAUAUUCAUAAAAGAGGUAGCACACUUAAAGGAAGAAUUCAAUGUUUCUUCUAGGCAGCAUGACAACAGAUGGUCCGGAUUUUUACUCCCACUCUUGAGAAGACUUCAGUAUGACUUUAAACCCCUGUAAUACUGAAAGGGGGGGAAAAAACCCAAACCCCUAUUUAUUGAACAUGAGCCAGCAGAGUGGGCUGGCAGCCCACAAAGCCAGACAUCUCCUGGACUGCAUCUAAAGGAGUGUGGCCAGCAGGGUGAGGGAGGCAAUUCCAUCCCUGUACUCUGCUUUUGUAAGACCCUACCUGGAGUGGUGAAUCCAGCUCUGGUGCCUCCAAAAUAAGAAGGACAUGGAAGUGUUGGAGCAAGUCCAGGGAAGGCCACGAAGUGAUAAGGGAACUGGAACACCUCCCCUAUGAAGAUAGGCUGAGAAAAUUUGUGCUCUGUCCCAUUUUACACUGUAAGUUUUCAGUAACUGCAGAGGUGACUUGUAAUUAUCAGUGAAGCUACAGCUUUGAAGCUGCACGAGUAAGAUAAUUUUUUCCAUUCUUUUCUUAAUGUAAAUGAGUAGUUGAAUAGAUAUAAAUAAACCAAAUGCGUAACUAGACAUCACUGUAUUAAUAAGCACAAGAAAAGUAUGCUUUGAAGAGGGAUUUAUUUAGAUUUCAGAAAAACCUGUAUUUUAUCUGUGGUUGUGAUAAGAAUGUCUGAUAUAAAGAAGGAGGAAUAGAGUAUUAGUUCAGUUGCACACAAGUCCUGGAAGCAGUUCAAUGCCACAUCUUAGAAUAAGUCACAAUUUCAUUGUCCCUGUCCAAGAAGAUAAAACUAAGCCACAGUAACUAUCAAGUUACUGUCUUUUCUUCCAGAUUUCUCAUGUUUUGUCCUGUAUACGCUUUCUGUUAAAUUAGUCCAGAUUAAGGAUUGUUUUUAUGCAAAGGGGUUAAAUACCCCAUUUUGGGGGAGUGAGAUUAUAUGAACUUUAAUAUAAAUGAAGUCUGUUGAAAUCUUCAUAUACUAGUGGCAAUAGAGCGAGAGAAACACACUAAAAAAAUUUUUAAGUAACAAUUGAACCAAAGGUUUAUAGCUUUUGAAAUUACGUGUCCCCAUGAUAAAUUUUCAGUAUAAUUAAAGGCAGACAUAGGGAGACAUGUUGACUUAUACCACCUUUUUUUCCAAUCCCUCCUUUUAAGGAACUAUGGGCACUUUUUUAUUGUUGAUAUACAUUUCAUUACAUGUCUGUAUGUUUCUUAACUUCUGUGUGCACAGUUUCAAUGUACUCCAGAUGGGGAAUUUUCCCUUUGAUUUGGUGUAAGAACGGAGGAUUCUCUCUUCAAACAUAUUGCUUCAGAUAUCAUGAUUACUCAUGCUCUAUCCCAUCUUGUUAGUACAUGGUGUUUAUUUCUAUUCCAGACUGACCCCAUUCUCAAGAGAAUUUCUAUUCUCGGUAUCUAGGAUUAUUUUUCAACAUCCUCUGGAAACUGGCACAUAUUUUCAUCGUUUGAGUGCAACUUUGUUCUUCUUAAUUUUUGUCUUUCUGUGGUAACAUUAAUAUGUGAUUAUCAUAUUAUCAUUUUGAUAUUAUGAUGUUAUGAUUUUGUCACCUUGGUUUUCUGGUACAACUCUGUUGUACU
This is a long non-coding RNA of Poecile atricapillus (Black-capped chickadee), 1699 nucleotides long. RefSeq lists it as uncharacterized. The transcript has 4 exons. NCBI's taxonomy places the organism in Eukaryota, Metazoa, Chordata, Aves, Passeriformes, Paridae. The record is from RefSeq and is a predicted model, not a curated record.